This 2191-nucleotide long non-coding RNA is filed under the name Nicotiana tabacum (common tobacco). RNAcentral describes it as "long non-coding RNA (NTAB_LNC008735)". Lineage: Eukaryota; Viridiplantae; Streptophyta; Magnoliopsida; Solanales; Solanaceae. The record is from RNAcentral.
AAGAAACUACCAUGUGAUACAAUUGAAUCAACAAUCUGACAACAUUUAGACUUGGUUAGUGGAAGAAUAUUUAAAGAUAAUUCUGCUUAAGAUUGAAGUACUAUGUCCUUGUCUAAACCUUGCUGUUAUCAAUCGCUGACGGCGGUAAGUUUCUCCUUGAUGUGUAAAUAGGCUUUGUUGCAUCAUAGAAACUAAAACUUGGUGGCUGAAAUGAAAAAGAAAAAUUAGUUGGCCAUAUUAUUUACUGUAAACAAUCAUGUUUAAGAUUGUCAAAUGAGAUUGAUACAGGUGUCCAAUAGCCAGCUUUUAUCUUACUCAGAUUGUUUGAAGAAACAAGACCAUUUAAAGGCUAAAAACAUAUAGUUCUCUGAUUCUUACGUGUUCAGUGAGUGCAAGGUUUGCUUCAAAAAAGGAUCUGAUUGUACCAAUAUCUUCCCAGUAAUCAUUGAAUAAGUAAGCCUGCAAAAUCAGGUGAAGAAUGCUUUAGUCACCAUAGAGGUUGAAGUUAAGCUGUUUAGGAGAUCAUAGCCAGAAUAGUGAAUUGAAACAACAUUGAAUAUCUUGCCUUAUGAUGGAAACAAGAAGAUUGGAUGUCGUAGUAAAUUUUUUGAACAAACAGAUCAAGGUCUUGUGUAAAUGCCAAACAGAAAUGAAGUGGUACAAACCUUGACACAGAAUUCUUUGGCAGAGGCAGGAAUAAUCUCUGAACCAAAGUCAUUUGCUGUCGGAAAACGCCAUCUAAAAGAAGACAAAGAGUAAGCAGUUAAUGAUCUUCUUUUACCUGAUAUCUUCAGCAUGUUACUUGUUUUAUAAUAGCCACCACAAUUUGCUUCUUUUGAACGUAGCUGCCCCUAUUAUCUGGAUGACUAUGAUUUCUUGUUUUUUCUGGCCCGCUUUCUCCAAAAUUUCUAUCAUUUGCAUGUUGACCAUGACACCUUCUAAAAUAAGGUACUAUAGAAGAAGAAGCUCGUUACAUACCUUAAGAGAUUUAGGAGAAUCUCCUUCUUGAAGACGUAAACUCCCAUUGAAGCAAUGUAAGGUUUCUUUUUAGCCUCUUCCGGGGAUAAUCCCAGAACAGAUGUGUCUACUGCCUGAAGUACUUGUUGUCAAUUGAUUGCAGCAACUUAAAAUUUUUGAAGUAGGUUAAGCUCUGAGACUGUCAAAUUUUCAAGAAUUACCAUCGCCUUCAAGUCAUCUCCUUUUGGCUUUUCGCUGAAGGACAGGACCCGUCCUGUGUCAUCAAUUUUCAUCAAGCCAAAAUCUGAAGCACGUCUAUCAUGAAAACAUACAAGUGAUUCAGUAGAAGAAAUUAUGUUUUGUAGUGAUUAUCAAAGCAAUACUUGACAUAGCAUGCCAUUGCUGAGAGGAAGAAUAGCCUAUCUAGGAUUUUGAUUAUCCCUCUUAAACUACCUGUCGUCUAUUGGCAAGCUUGAUAUGGUAAUGUCUGCACCACUUUUCCUAUGACUCUGUCAAGAAGUGGAGAUGGAUUUUUUCACUUUUGAGUAAUAGACAAUCUUUCCGAGAAAAUGAUAUCAAGCAAGGUAUAUAUUAGUCUAUAGCCUUACCUGAACAAAGUCCAUGUAGUCCAUUCUAUACAAGUGAUCUCCAGAGAGAAUGAGCACAUCUUCUAUGUCCUUGCUUCUUUGAUCCUUCAGUUAUGAAAAUCAAUGUGAAUUUCAUUAACUGAUGUCUACUAUUAAGCCAUAUGAUGAGAUAAUUGUGGUGAUGGUCAUAGCUGAGCGUGGAGAACAUAUUGCUUGUAUUUACAUGCUGUUAAGUUCUGUAUUUUUCGCAUGUGAUUAAGUUUUCCUGGAAGUAAACUGACACAGCUCAGUUAACUUGAUCUUGCAUAUGUCAUUUUUUUCAUUGUGCAAGUUACUGCUGGACCUUGUUCAGUCUAAAGGUUGAGUUGUGGUCAUAUACUAUUGAAAUAUCCUGAUACAACAUAUGAAUAUAUGCAUUUCAAUGCCUCUUCAGAUCAAUUGUUACAUAUUGAAGAAAAACAUGGGAGGAAGAUAAAAAGAAACCUGAGAGGAAGGGCAUAUUGAUACGAACUAAUAUAUGAAUAUCAGGAAGACAAAAAUGUUGCAGUGCAGGAAUCUGGAGUUAUUUUCACUAUUGGGAUAAACUGGGGCUAUCAACGUGAACGAGAGAAAAACAAAGCCCAUUACUCGAUCAGGGGAUCUAAGCC